This 512-nucleotide long non-coding RNA is filed under the name Homo sapiens (human). Its description in RNAcentral is "non-protein coding lnc-BMP5-5:3". The record is from RNAcentral. Lineage: Eukaryota; Metazoa; Chordata; Mammalia; Primates; Hominidae.
AAAGAAAUAAGCACCCUGGGGACCAUUCUAGAGGCCACUGGAUGGGAAUUAAUGUGGUGGACUCCGCAGUAUCCGGAUUAGGUGGCUGCCCUUAUGCAAAAGGUGCUUCUGGGAAUGUAGCCACUGAGGAUUUGAUAUAUAUGCUUAAUGGCCUGGGGCUCAAUACAGGUGUGAAUCUAUACAAAGUGAUGGAAGCUGGUGACUUUAUUUGCAAAGCUGUGAAUAAAACCACAAACUCUAAAGUAGCACAAGCCUCCUUCAAUGCUUGACUUGAAUGGAUUUAUGACGUACCGUUGAGAAGAUCAAUUUCAGCUACAAUACUCAUCUGAAAAUCAUUAAUGCCAACUUGCUCUGAUAUGUGAAGUAAUGGACAAGAGUGGGAAAAAAGAGAUCCUUUUCAAAAAGAUUAUAACUGGAUAGAUUAAGUCAACAAAAUGCAAUAUCAGUCAUCAGGUAAAUUGCAAGCUGAGGAUAAAUAAUAAAACUUGUCAUAAUUUUGAACUUGGAAAAAA